Molecule: non-coding RNA, 30 nt
Filed under: Rattus norvegicus (Norway rat)
Lineage: Eukaryota; Metazoa; Chordata; Mammalia; Rodentia; Muridae
Source: RNAcentral
AUGCAUUCCGUGGANCAGGCUGCAGAGUUG